This 305-nucleotide ribosomal RNA is filed under the name uncultured bacterium. Its description in RNAcentral is "bacterial SSU rRNA". It matches the Rfam family "Bacterial small subunit ribosomal RNA", at positions 336 to 643 of the family's 1533-position model. The record is from RNAcentral.
CUCCUACGGGGCGCAGCAGUGGGGAAUAUUGCACAAUGGGGGAAACCCUGAUGCAGCGACGCCGCGUGAGUGAAGAAGUAUCUCGGUACGUAAAGCUCUAUCAGCAGGGAAGAAAAAAAGUCUUUGGCUUUGGACGGUACCUGACUAAGAAGCCCCGGCUAACUACGUGCCAGCAGCCGCGGUAAUACGUAGGGGGCAAGCGUUAUCCGGAUUUACUGGGUGUAAAGGGAGCGUAGACGGCAGGGCAAGUCUGGAGUGAAAGGCAGGGGCCCAACCCCUGGACUGCUCUGGAAACUGUCCGGCUG